Molecule: ribosomal RNA, 1528 nt
Filed under: Klebsiella pneumoniae
Lineage: Bacteria; Pseudomonadati; Pseudomonadota; Gammaproteobacteria; Enterobacterales; Enterobacteriaceae
Description: bacterial SSU rRNA
Rfam family: Bacterial small subunit ribosomal RNA
Source: RNAcentral
AGAGUUUGAUCAUGGCUCAGAUUGAACGCUGGCGGCAGGCCUAACACAUGCAAGUCGAGCGGUAGCACAGAGAGCUUGCUCUCGGGUGACGAGCGGCGGACGGGUGAGUAAUGUCUGGGAAACUGCCUGAUGGAGGGGGAUAACUACUGGAAACGGUAGCUAAUACCGCAUAACGUCGCAAGACCAAAGUGGGGGACCUUCGGGCCUCAUGCCAUCAGAUGUGCCCAGAUGGGAUUAGCUAGUAGGUGGGGUAAUGGCUCACCUAGGCGACGAUCCCUAGCUGGUCUGAGAGGAUGACCAGCCACACUGGAACUGAGACACGGUCCAGACUCCUACGGGAGGCAGCAGUGGGGAAUAUUGCACAAUGGGCGCAAGCCUGAUGCAGCCAUGCCGCGUGUGUGAAGAAGGCCUUCGGGUUGUAAAGCACUUUCAGCGGGGAGGAAGGCGGUGAGGUUAAUAACCUCAUCGAUUGACGUUACCCGCAGAAGAAGCACCGGCUAACUCCGUGCCAGCAGCCGCGGUAAUACGGAGGGUGCAAGCGUUAAUCGGAAUUACUGGGCGUAAAGCGCACGCAGGCGGUCUGUCAAGUCGGAUGUGAAAUCCCCGGGCUUAACCUGGGAACUGCAUUCGAAACUGGCAGGCUAGAGUCUUGUAGAGGGGGGUAGAAUUCCAGGUGUAGCGGUGAAAUGCGUAGAGAUCUGGAGGAAUACCGGUGGCGAAGGCGGCCCCCUGGACAAAGACUGACGCUCAGGUGCGAAAGCGUGGGGAGCAAACAGGAUUAGAUACCCUGGUAGUCCACGCCGUAAACGAUGUCGAUUUGGAGGUUGUGCCCUUGAGGCGUGGCUUCCGGAGCUAACGCGUUAAAUCGACCGCCUGGGGAGUACGGCCGCAAGGUUAAAACUCAAAUGAAUUGACGGGGGCCCGCACAAGCGGUGGAGCAUGUGGUUUAAUUCGAUGCAACGCGAAGAACCUUACCUGGUCUUGACAUCCACAGAACUUUCCAGAGAUGGAUUGGUGCCUUCGGGAACUGUGAGACAGGUGCUGCAUGGCUGUCGUCAGCUCGUGUUGUGAAAUGUUGGGUUAAGUCCCGCAACGAGCGCAACCCUUAUCCUUUGUUGCCAGCGGUUCGGCCGGGAACUCAAAGGAGACUGCCAGUGAUAAACUGGAGGAAGGUGGGGAUGACGUCAAGUCAUCAUGGCCCUUACGACCAGGGCUACACACGUGCUACAAUGGCAUAUACAAAGAGAAGCGACCUCGCGAGAGCAAGCGGACCUCAUAAAGUAUGUCGUAGUCCGGAUUGGAGUCUGCAACUCGACUCCAUGAAGUCGGAAUCGCUAGUAAUCGUAGAUCAGAAUGCUACGGUGAAUACGUUCCCGGGCCUUGUACACACCGCCCGUCACACCAUGGGAGUGGGUUGCAAAAGAAGUAGGUAGCUUAACCUUCGGGAGGGCGCUUACCACUUUGUGAUUCAUGACUGGGGUGAAGUCGUAACAAGGUAACCGUAGGGGAACCUGCGGUUGGAUCACCU